Molecule: ribosomal RNA, 593 nt
Filed under: uncultured bacterium
Lineage: Bacteria
Description: bacterial SSU rRNA
Rfam family: Bacterial small subunit ribosomal RNA
Source: RNAcentral
CCUACGGGAGGCAGCAGUGGGGAAUCUUGCGCAAUGGGCGAAAGCCUGACGCAGCCAUGCCGCGUGAAUGAUGAAGGUCUUAGGAUUGUAAAAUUCUUUCACCGGGGACGAUAAUGACGGUACCCGGAGAAGAAGCCCCGGCUAACUUCGUGCCAGCAGCCGCGGUAAUACGAAGGGGGCUAGCGUUGCUCGGAAUUACUGGGCGUAAAGGGAGCGUAGGCGGAUAGUUUAGUCAGAGGUGAAAGCCCAGGGCUCAACCUUGGAAUUGCCUUUGAUACUGGCUAUCUUGAGUGUGGGAGAGGUAUGUGGAACUCCGAGUGUAGAGGUGAAAUUCGUAGAUAUUCGGAAGAACACCAGUGGCGAAGGCGACAUACUGGCCCAUUACUGACGCUGAGGCUCGAAAGCGUGGGGAGCAAACAGGAUUAGAUACCCUGGUAGUCCACGCUGUAAACGAUGAGUGCUAGUUGUCGGCAGGCAUGCCUGUCGGUGACGCAGCUAACGCAUUAAGCACUCCGCCUGGGGAGUACGGUCGCAAGAUUAAAACUCAAAGUGAAUUGACGCGNGAGAGCGACGACGACGACGACGAGGAGAGG